GAAAAUGUAGUACUUGUUUUAAUGCCUUUAACCGAAAGUUAGACCGUGUGUCUCUGCUUGAAAGGAUUCUUCAUUCAUCACUCCAAGCAACAUCUAAAAAAAGAUUGGAGGUGCAUCAUGUCUUUACAACUGAGGAGUCCACAAAUGAAGCAUUAAUCCCUGAAAGACAAAAUUGGACUUAUUCGUGCCUAGUGUUGCAGGGGGGCGCUGGAGCCUAUCUCAGCUACAAUUGGGUGGAAGGCGGGGUACACCGUGGACAAGUCGCCACAUCAUCGCAGGGCCAACACAGAU
Molecule: long non-coding RNA, 291 nt
Organism: Nerophis ophidion (straightnose pipefish)
Lineage: Eukaryota; Metazoa; Chordata; Actinopteri; Syngnathiformes; Syngnathidae
Exons: 3
Source: RefSeq, a predicted model, not a curated record